AAUUCUGAAUUCUGGGAGGAAAAAAAGAGGAAGCAUCUGAAAAGGUGGCUUGGAUCGAGGGGAAAAAGUGCGUUGGACUCGAUGCCUCCACGACAUGGGAGACUACAAGAUCAGAAACUGAAAGACUGAGAGAUCAAGCCUUGAGUCCGCCUUUUGAUGCAGUCUCCAUGGUGACUACAGUUUCCUGGGAAGCAACAUGGACGUCUGUUCACUGAAAUUCUGGAGUUUGCUGAUGACGGAUAUAAGGCUAAUAUGACAAACUGAAACACACUUGUGACAUACUCCAAAACAAUGAAGACAACGGGAUUUAGAAGGCUCCGGGGGUGAUCCACACAUGGAUGACCAAUAGAAACGAAGGCCGUUAACCUUUCUGCUAACAGAACUCACCUUCAAACAACACAGAAGAUGCCCGCAUAUCUCUACUGCCACUUCUCAUUUACGUCUGGCUGAUUCACAGUGAACCGCAACAGUGGCCUUUUUUGGGUAAAUUCUGCAGAUUCACAUUUAAUAUGAAGAAAGCAAUACGAAGAGAACUGAACUGUUGGACAUGAGCUGAUCAUCUAUGACACAACUGCCCUCUGCUAUCUGGCAGAUAUGAAUCAAGUUGUUUUUUGGUGUCCAUCAUGUAUUUACAGUUUAGCUGUUGUUGUGCCAGAUGUGAGAACUAUGUGGAAACUAAAUCUUUCUUGCUCUUUGACCAUAUAAAUAGUCAGACAGAUAUUUAUAUUGCCU
Molecule: long non-coding RNA, 732 nt
Organism: Sinocyclocheilus grahami
Lineage: Eukaryota; Metazoa; Chordata; Actinopteri; Cypriniformes; Cyprinidae
Exons: 3
Source: RefSeq, a predicted model, not a curated record